GACGAACGCUGGCGGCGUGCUUAACACAUGCAAGUCGAACGGAAAGGCCCUGCUUUUGUGGGGUGCUCGAGUGGCGAACGGGUGAGUAACACGUGAGUAACCUGCCCUUGACUUUGGGAUAACUUCAGGAAACUGGGGCUAAUACCGGAUAGGAGCUCCUGCUGCAUGGUGGGGGUUGGAAAGUUUCGGCGGUUGGGGAUGGACUCGCGGCUUAUCAGCUUGUUGGUGGGGUAGUGGCUUACCAAGGCUUUGACGGGUAGCCGGCCUGGGAGGGUUAACGGCCACAUUGGGACUGAGAUACGGCCCAGACUCCAACGGGAGGCAGCAGUGGAGAAUAUUGCACAAUGGGCGGAAGCCUGAUGCAGCAACGCCGCGUGCGGGAUGACGGCCUUCGGGUUGUAAACAGCUUUCGCCUGUGACGAAGCGUGAGUGACGGUAAUGGGUAAAGAAGCACCGGCUAACUACGUG
RNAcentral lists this ribosomal RNA (468 nucleotides) under uncultured bacterium. Its description in RNAcentral is "partial 16S ribosomal RNA". It matches the Rfam family "Bacterial small subunit ribosomal RNA", at positions 28 to 507 of the family's 1533-position model. The record is from RNAcentral.